This is a long non-coding RNA of Corythoichthys intestinalis (scribbled pipefish), 3284 nucleotides long. RefSeq lists it as uncharacterized. NCBI's taxonomy places the organism in Eukaryota, Metazoa, Chordata, Actinopteri, Syngnathiformes, Syngnathidae. The record is from RefSeq and is a predicted model, not a curated record. The transcript is spliced from 6 exons.
CAUUAUUUACUUUGAAAGAUCGGAUAUUGCUGCCGUUUUAUUUCCUGUUUAGUGCGUGCCAGUGCCAUAUAUUUAGAGAGUCACGACACUCCCAUAGGGAUCCAUUAUACGAUUUUACUUCCGGGUACUUCCGGGUUAUGGAGCCUUGGAUAAUUACAAACAGCGCAUUUGACAUGACGGACACCAUUCAUUUGAACGGCAGGCUGUCAAGUAUAUUCGGAGAGGCCCUUUGUGACAUACACUUAUCUCUUUGAUGCACAUGGAUUGAAUUCUCAAUCGCAGCCUAAUCUGCUCCACAACAUUGGAGGAUUCCAUGAGGGAAUCAUUCGUUGCCGAACGGAACAGCUGCUCGACAUCCUUAAAGAGAGUGAAGACCUCAUCCGAUGGCCGGUGCUUCAACCAAUGCACACUGGCAUUGGUUGCAGAGUGAGAAGCUGAUGACCCUCUUCACUAUGCAUCCUGCCAGAUGGUAAAGGACACAUGACUCUGUGAAUUCAGUUGCCAUUUUGCCUGACAGCGUGGUCCCUGGCGCAUCUGGGCCUAGUGUUGUGGCGCCACCGCUGGUUCCUGAUUGGUCGGCACCCGGCUCAUCCACCCCUGGAUCACCUGGCCUGGAUACGUCAUUGUCAUUGUGCUCACUUUCGCCCAACCUUCCCACCUCAAUUUCUCCCUGAAUGUCUGUAACAAUAACAAGGCAUUCUUAAUUUUAUAUGCAGUCAAUGUUUUUACAUUUGCACCUAUUGUCAUCUCCAAAGUAAGGGUACACUACACUCCUAAAGGGAAAAAAAAAAUAACGGACAUUACUGUUACAUGAAUCAAAUCAUCUGCCACAAUCAGAAACUGCUAUGGCAUUGCCAUGUGUCAACAGUCUGGUGAUAUCAUGGAGUUGGUUCUGCUUUGCUGUUGUAUCCACCAGAAAUGUUUAGUUAUAGGUGAAAAUUAAAUGCAUAAAUAAAGCUAAAUUAUGAAGUAACUAACAAUGAAGUAGAUCGAAAUUUUGUGUGUAAAUCCCAGGACAAUUCCUGACCUCUUGUAUUUGAAGCUGAAUGUAUUAAUAUGAAAAAUGUAAUUAUCUUAUUAGGAGUGUAGUUUAUCCUUGAAUUACUUGGCAUGGGAAAUGUUGUUGACAGCUGGUCUGUAUCAUACCCAAGUUUAACCUGGUGCAAUAUGUAUGGUCCGUUUGAAUUUUGGUUGGAGGCACACUCCUAAAGGGAAGUUUCCUCCUCUUUGGCUUCGAACGAUGAAUGAAAAUGGUUGGGACAGCAUCUGGCCUCAAUUUAAAUGUGUGCCCUACUUUGGUUGGCGUAAACUGGUCCUCCUCAAAGUGUUCCUGAUGUUUGGUUCGCAAGAUCAGUUUCCAUUCUACUUAAAAUUAAAAAAAAAAAAAAAAAAAAAAUUAAAAGUCAUAAUACCGUGACUUACAUGACAGAGUUUAUAGUUGUUGCUGGCCCCCUUCAAUUUCAGAUUUUUACAGCUGACCAUUGCCAGCCAUUGUUUCUGCCGGUCUUUGUCCUUCGGGAAACCAUACAUUCGGUAGCCCUUUUCGGACCGAUUGGUGCAUCCAAAAGCUGCACAACCAACCAUCACGAUCUCUAAAAUGUUAGGUGUGAGCACUGAAUCAUGACACCAAUUUUACCUAUUUAAUAAAAAAUAAAUAUUACUGUAAUAUUAAAUAUUUUCUUUAUCAAAGGGUAAUACGUUAUGUAAUAUAUUACCACAGGUAAGUGUAUCAAGAAAAUCUGGGCAUUCUCUGGAAAAACAGUAUUCUAGUUGUGGGGGGGGAAUUCCAUCUUGCAUUUCAAUGUAUAAGUUGAUUUCCAAUGCUAUUGCUAACACAAACAUGAAACUCCCUCCAAGACAUGGGAACUUUCCCUUCUGUGUAACAGUUUACAUAGUUUUCAGUUGUUGCCUUACCACUCCAAAUGUAAAACUAGCAUUUAUAAACACUAUAGUGCAAUGACAUAAUCAAACAAGUACUUAAAAUACGUGAUUUUAUCUAUUUUUACCAUAAAUGGAGCAAUCACCGCUAACUGGUUCAUGGAAUACUAUUACAGCGCUGCUUGUGUUUGUAACUAUACACGCCUACAUGAGGCACGUGACCACCCGCGGUGACAUGAGAGAGAGUCGCAACUCUAAAUGGUGCGUGCUAAACAUUAACAGGGCUUCAUCCGGCCGCGGGUUUGCACAUCAGAGGCUCGUCUUUGCAAGCCAUUAUAUCAAAUGUCCACUAGAUGGUGCCAGAGUGAACUACUUGGACGAUGUAUACAAUUUGAUGCAGCUACAGUGGGGCAAAUAAGUAUUUAGUCAACCACUAAUUGUGCAAGUUCUCCCACUUGAAAAUAGAGAGGCCUGUAAUUGUCAACAUGGAUAAACCUCAACCACGAGAGACAGAAAAUAAGUAUAAUAUUUAUAUGUAUAAAUAUAUAUAUAUAAUAUUUGGUCUAUACCACAAGUUCAUCUCAAUACUUUGUUAUGUACCCUUUGUUGGCAAUAACGGCGGCCAAACGUUUUCUGUAACUCUUCACAAGCUUUUUACACAUUGUUGCUGGUAUUUUGGCCCAUUCCUCCAUGCAGAUCUCCUUUAGAGCAGUGAUGUUUUGGGGCUGUCGUUGGGCAACACACUUUCAACUCCCUCCUCACCCCGUGGUGUCAAAAUGAUAACAAGAAUGGGGAGCAAAAAUCCCAGAACCACACGGGGGGACCUAGUGAAUGACCUACUUAGAGCUGGACCACAGUAACAAAGGAUACUAUCAGUAACACAAUGCGCCGCCAGGGACUCAAAUCCUGCACUGCCAGACGUGUCCCCCUGCUGGAGAAAGUACACGUCCAGGCCCGUCUGCGGUUUGCUGGAGAGCAUUUGGAUGAACCAGAAAAGGACUGGGAGAAUGUGUUAUGGUCAGAUGAAACUAAAAUAGAACUUUUUGGUAGAAACACAGCUUCUCUUGUUUGGAGGAAAAAGAAUACUGAAUUUCACCAUACCCACUGUGAAGCAUGGGCGUGGAAACAUCAUGCUUUGGGGCUGUUUUUCUGCAAAGGGACCAGGACGACUGAUCUGUGUUAAGGAAAGAAUGAAUGGGGCCAUGUAUCGAGAGAUUUUGAGUGAAAAUCUCCUUCCAUCAGCAAGGGCAUUGAAGAUGAGAUGUGGCUGGGUCUUUCAGCAUGACAAUGAUCCCAAGUACACAGUCAGGGCAACAAAGGAGUGGCUUCGUAAGAAGCAUUUCAAGGUCCUGGAGUGGCCUAGCCAGUCUCCAGGUCUCAACCCCAUAGAAAAUCUGCGGAGGGAG